This 727-nucleotide ribosomal RNA is filed under the name Streptomyces sp. RNAcentral describes it as "bacterial SSU rRNA". It matches the Rfam family "Bacterial small subunit ribosomal RNA", at positions 137 to 876 of the family's 1533-position model. Lineage: Bacteria; Bacillati; Actinomycetota; Actinomycetes; Kitasatosporales; Streptomycetaceae. The record is from RNAcentral.
UCUGGGACAAGCCCUGGAAACGGGGUCUAAUACCGGAUAACACCGGCCUUCGCAUGGAGGCUGGUUGAAAGCUCCGGCGGUGAAGGAUGAGCCCGCGGCCUAUCAGCUUGUUGGUGGGGUAAUGGCCCACCAAGGCGACGACGGGUAGCCGGCCUGAGAGGGCGACCGGCCACACUGGGACUGAGACACGGCCCAGACUCCUACGGGAGGCAGCAGUGGGGAAUAUUGCACAAUGGGCGAAAGCCUGAUGCAGCGACGCCGCGUGAGGGAUGACGGCCUUCGGGUUGUAAACCUCUUUCAGCAGGGAAGAAGCGAAAGUGACGGUACCUGCAGAAGAAGCGCCGGCUAACUACGUGCCAGCAGCCGCGGUAAUACGUAGGGCGCAAGCGUUGUCCGGAAUUAUUGGGCGUAAAGAGCUCGUAGGCGGCUUGUCACGUCGGGUGUGAAAGCCCGGGGCUUAACCCCGGGUCUGCAUCCGAUACGGGCAGGCUAGAGUGUGGUAGGGGAGAUCGGAAUUCCUGGUGUAGCGGUGAAAUGCGCAGAUAUCAGGAGGAACACCGGUGGCGAAGGCGGAUCUCUGGGCCAUUACUGACGCUGAGGAGCGAAAGCGUGGGGAGCGAACAGGAUUAGAUACCCUGGUAGUCCACGCCGUAAACGUUGGGAACUAGGUGUUGGCGACAUUCCACGUCGUCGGUGCCGCAGCUAACGCAUUAAGUUCCCCGCCUGG